AAACCUCAACCCCUAUAAUGAAAAGGCAUCAUCAAACAAUACUUCAACUAUAGUUAUAAAUAUCAAUCCUAAAGGAUUACAACAAAAAUUUUCUUCAUUUUGUUUCUAAGAUGAAUCACUGGUAUCAGAUGUUGAAGCCAUGAGAAUGGAAAAUUGUCCUGUUUUGACAUGAAAUUGGAAAACCUCCCAAAUUUCAGAUAAAGUAUUAUUACAAAUCAAUGGAUUCACUAACCUUCAACUUAAUAAGCUGAAGCAGAG
This 258-nucleotide unclassified non-coding RNA is filed under the name Hevea brasiliensis (rubber tree). The record is from RNAcentral. Lineage: Eukaryota; Viridiplantae; Streptophyta; Magnoliopsida; Malpighiales; Euphorbiaceae.